Molecule: ribosomal RNA, 490 nt
Filed under: uncultured bacterium
Lineage: Bacteria
Description: partial 16S ribosomal RNA
Rfam family: Bacterial small subunit ribosomal RNA
Source: RNAcentral
AGUGAACGCUGGCGGUAGGCCUAACACAUGCAAGUCGAACGGCAGCACAGUAAGAGCUUGCUCUUACGGGUGGCGAGUGGCGGACGGGUGAGGAAUACAUCGGAAUCUACUUUUUCGUGGGGGAUAACGUAGGGAAACUUACGCUAAUACCGCAUACGACCUACGGGUGAAAGCAGGGGAUCUUCGGACCUUGCGCGAUUGAAUGAGCCGAUGUCGGAUUAGCUAGUUGGCGGGGUAAAGGCCCACCAAGGCGACGAUCCGUAGCUGGUCUGAGAGGAUGAUCGGCAACACUGAACUGAGGACACGGGCCAGACUCCGACGGGAGGAAGAAGGGGGGAAUAUGGGACAAGGGGCGCAAGCCUGACCAGCCAUACCGCGUGGGUGAAGAAGGCCUUCGGGUUGUAAAGCCCUUUUGUUGGGAAAGAAAAGCAGCAGGUUAAUACCCCGCUGUUCGGACGGUACCCAAAGAAUAAGCACCGGCUAACUGCGU